This 977-nucleotide ribosomal RNA is filed under the name uncultured bacterium. RNAcentral describes it as "bacterial SSU rRNA". It matches the Rfam family "Bacterial small subunit ribosomal RNA", at positions 28 to 998 of the family's 1533-position model. The record is from RNAcentral.
AGUGAACGCUGGCGGCAUGGUUAAGACAUGCAAGUCGAACGAAAAGCAAGUCUUCGGAUUUGUGGAAAGUGGCGAACGGGUGCGUAACACGUGAGCAACCUGCCCUAAAGUAUGGAAUAGCCUGUCGAAAGAUGGAUUAAUGCCGUAUGUGACUUUUUCUCGCAUGGGAAAAAAGUUAAAGCUUGUAAUGGCGCUUUAGGAUGGGCUCGCGGCCUAUCAGCUUGUUGGUAAGGUAACGGCUUACCAAGGCUAAGACGGGUAGCUGGUCUGAGAGGAUGAUCAGCCACACCGGGACUGAGACACGGCCCGGACACCUACGGGUGGCAGCAGUUUCGAAUCAUUCACAAUGGGCGAAAGCCUGAUGAUGCAAUGCCGCGUGGAGGAUGAAGGCCUUAGGGUCGUAAACUCCUGUCAUUGGGGAGCAACAAGUAGGUUUAUAGCCUAUCAUGAGUUAACCCAAAGAGGAAGAGGUGGCUAACUCCGUGCCAGCAGCCGCGGUAAUACGGAGACCUCGAGCGUUACUCGGAUUCACUGGGCGUAAAGGGUGAGUAGGUGGCCAAGUAUGUCAGGUGUGAAAUCCCGGGGCUUAACCCCGGAACUGCGCCUGAAACUACUUGGCUAGAGUCUCGGAGAGGAUAGUGGAAUUCCAAGUGUAGCGGUGAAAUGCGUAGAUAUUUGGAGGAACACCAGUGGCGAAGGCGACUAUCUGGACGAGUACUGACGCUCAAUCACGAAAGCGUGGGUAGCGAAAGGGAUUAGAUACCCCUGUAGUCCACGCCGUAAACGUUGCACACUAAGUUUCGGAGGAUUCGACCCCUUCGGAGCUCAAGCUAACGCGUUAAGUGUGCCGCCUGAGGACUACGGCCGCAAGGCUAAAACUCAAAGGAAUUGACGGGGGCCCGCACAAGCGGUGGAGCAUGUGGCUUAAUUCGAGGCAACGCGAAGAACCUUACCUGGUCUUGACAUGCCCGUCAUAU